Molecule: long non-coding RNA, 248 nt
Organism: Bufo bufo (common toad)
Lineage: Eukaryota; Metazoa; Chordata; Amphibia; Anura; Bufonidae
Exons: 3
Source: RefSeq, a predicted model, not a curated record
UUUUACUCUCCCCAUUGAAGUGAAUGGAGAAAAUCUGGUCAGGAAAAAUAAAAUAAAUUGACAUACUGUGGAUUUUAAAAUCCGCAUGGUAGGUCAAAAUCUGCGCGGGAAAAAAUCUGCAUCUUGUGCAUGAAAAUUUCAGAUUCUCAUAGAAUACAAUAUACAUGACCUACGGUGCGAAUUUUCCGCGGGCAAAUCCGCCCGCAAUCCUGAUCAUGUGCAUUUACCCUAAGAGGGUGAAAUCCGAA